Molecule: unclassified non-coding RNA, 327 nt
Filed under: soil metagenome
Description: partial contains 5.8S ribosomal RNA, internal transcribed spacer 2, and large subunit ribosomal RNA
Rfam family: 5.8S ribosomal RNA (bases 1-120)
Source: RNAcentral
GAUGAAGAACGUAGCGAAAUGCGAUAAGUAAUGUGAAUUGCAGAAUUCAGUGAAUCAUCGAAUCUUUGAACGCACAUUGCGCCCCUUGGUAUUCCGAGGGGCAUGCCUGUUCGAGCGUCAUUAUAACCCUCAAGCUCAGCUUGGUGUUGGGGCCUGCUGCACUGGCAGCCCUUAAAAUCAGUGGCGGCGCCAUCUGGCUCUAAGCGUAGUAAUUCUUCUCGCUAUGGAGUCCUGGUGGAUGCUUGCCAUCAACCCCCAAUUUUUCUAUGGUUGACCUCGGAUCAGGUAGGGAUACCCGCUGAACUUAAGCAUAUCAAUAAGCGGAGG